Long non-coding RNA from Aquila chrysaetos chrysaetos, 1670 nucleotides. RefSeq lists it as uncharacterized. The transcript is spliced from 6 exons. Lineage: Eukaryota; Metazoa; Chordata; Aves; Accipitriformes; Accipitridae. The record is from RefSeq and is a predicted model, not a curated record.
AAGGACUGCAGCCCGGGGAAGGGACCCACACUGGAGAAGUUCGUGAAGAACCACUGCCCAUGGGAGGUACCCAUGUUGGAGAACUUCAUGAAAGACUGUCUCUCGUGGAUGAGACCCCACACAGGAGCAGAGGAAGAGUGUGAGGAGGAAGGAGCGGCAGAGACAACGCGUUGUGGACGGUCCUCAACCCCCAUCCCCUAUCCUACUCUGCCAGUCGGAGGGAGAAGGUAGAGAAGUGUGUAAGAUCUUCAGGACACAGGCUCUUCAUGUAUGCAGUGUUGUGUAAACUGUUGUGUUAUAAACCAGAUGCUCAACGGGAGUAAAUCAGCACUGUGUCAUUAAAGUUCAGCUUUGGAUUGCCAAUUAACUGAAGGAUAGCUACUCAUGGUGGUGCCCCACAAAGCUCUCACAUGACCUGGAUGAGAGCUGUGCAAAAGGUACAAAAGUGUAUCACUGGUACAACCAGUUCAAAAAUAUCGAUUACAGAAGAGGCAAGACCAGCAGUGGAACGAGCACUGUGUCACUUCACAUCCUUGGCAGAGAGAUGACUUUUAACACCCUAGUUAGAAUUUAAACACACCAGUAACAGGUCAACAGGAGCUCACAGAGGCUGACUCUGAGUCAAAAUAUUCCUUAUCUGAUGAUACACAAGUAUUUUGCCUGUGUGUGAGACAAGAUCUCCUGGAUCCCAAUAAUGCUUACUUAACAUGGGCUCAGGGCACCCUUCCUAAAAGGGACUAGUAAAAUUACUGAAAUAGUCCCUGAUUUGUAUUGCUGAGAGGACCACAAUGAUUUUCGUGAAAAGUGCCUACACCCCAGGGAGUCCUCAGGGUCACCAGAAUUUAAGUUUUGCAGCACAAAGAAAGACAAAACCUGGUCUGGCUGAGUUUUGGAAGAUGAAUUCGGAUACCUAAAAUGAGAAAGCCAGCUACUACAGAUCCAAGGUAGUUUACGGUUCUUCAACUCAAAAAAAAAAAAAAGAUUGCAAGGAUCUUAUUGCAAACACCUUCUGGAAAUAGUAGCAACUGAGACGGGUGGGUGAUAUAUAUGGUCUGAGAUCUGUUUUCAAUUUUAGGACAUAGUUUUAGGUUCAGACUGCAGACUGGCAGCAGGAGCUCACACUUCUACUUUAUGUAGUGGGAGCUUGAGAUCAUUACAAUACAUAUUGUAAAGCACAGAUAUUUGCAAAUACAUCUACACACAGUAAUUUAUACUGCUUAGGAUUCUUACUGAUAACUUUCAUGAUCCAAUAAUCAUUGACUAGCUCUAGAAGGCCACAUUGGGUUUGAGAACUAUUGGCUCAGUAAAUUGAAGAAAAUUUCCUGUAUCUGUCUCAUGCUCCAUGGAAAGAAGCAGUUUCCAGGGCUCAUGACCUUACACUUUUUCCUUCGAACCCAGUGCAAGUAAAACUUGAAAGUUUCAUGUUCUGUAUUUUCUUCCAGCUUAAAGAUUUAACUUCAAUUAGAAUUAUUUUUAGUCUCUUAGGGAGGAAAGAGAGCACUUUCACAUCAUCUUAAGCACUGCUUAUGAGAGAAAAUAUUUUUAGUUCUGGAAACAAAAUAUACUCUUUUAAUGGAAGAAGUAUGUAUCUCUAAAGUCACAAACUGUCACUCACUGAGGAAAGGAAUACUGGUUUCACAUAUUCAAAAUCACUCACAUAGACGUGAAAA